Molecule: ribosomal RNA, 16 nt
Filed under: Fraxinus mandshurica
Lineage: Eukaryota; Viridiplantae; Streptophyta; Magnoliopsida; Lamiales; Oleaceae
Description: partial 26S ribosomal RNA
Source: RNAcentral
UGUCACCUCGACAGCG